GAUGAACGCUGGCGGCGUGCUUAACACAUGCAAGUCGAACGGUGAUCUUGAGAGCUUGCUCUUGGGUGAUCAGUGGCGAACGGGUGAGUAACACGUGAGUAACCUGCCCCUGACUCUGGAAUAACUUCGGGAAACCGAAGCUAAUACCGGAUAUGACACAGAGCCGCAUGGUUUCUGUGUGGAAAGUUUUUCGGUUGGGGAUGGACUCGCGGCCUAUCAGCUUGUUGGUGAGGUAAUGGCUCACCAAGGCGACGACGGGUAGCCGGCCUGAGAGGGCGACCGGCCACACUGGGACUGAGACACGGCCCAGACUCCUACGGGAGGCAGCAGUGGGGAAUAUUGCACAAUGGGCGAAAGCCUGAUGCAGCGACGCCGCGUGAGGGAUGAAGGCCU
This 393-nucleotide ribosomal RNA is filed under the name uncultured bacterium. Its description in RNAcentral is "bacterial SSU rRNA". It matches the Rfam family "Bacterial small subunit ribosomal RNA", at positions 28 to 417 of the family's 1533-position model. The record is from RNAcentral.